RNAcentral lists this ribosomal RNA (292 nucleotides) under uncultured bacterium. RNAcentral describes it as "partial 16S ribosomal RNA". It matches the Rfam family "Bacterial small subunit ribosomal RNA", at positions 505 to 796 of the family's 1533-position model. The record is from RNAcentral.
GUGUCAGCAGCCGCGGUAAUACGAAGGGGGCUAGCGUUGUUCGGAAUUACUGGGCGUAAAGCGCACGUAGGCGGAUAUUUAAGUCAGGGGUGAAAUCCCGCAGCUCAACUGCGGAACUGCCUUUGAUACUGGGUAUCUUGAGUAUGGAAGAGGUUAGUGGAAUUGCGAGUGUAGAGGUGAAAUUCGUAGAUAUUCGCAGGAACACCAGUGGCGAAGGCGGCUAACUGGUCCAUAACUGACGCUGAGGUGCGAAAGCGUGGGGAGCAAACAGGAUUAGAUACCCCGGUAGUCC